RNAcentral lists this transfer RNA (76 nucleotides) under Patescibacteria group bacterium. RNAcentral's name for it is "tRNA-Asp". It matches the Rfam family "tRNA". Rfam says of the family: Transfer RNA (tRNA) molecules are approximately 80 nucleotides in length. Their secondary structure includes four short double-helical elements and three loops (D, anti-codon, and T loops). The record is from RNAcentral.
GGGUCCGUGGUGUAGCCUGGCCUAACACGCUUCCCUGUCAAGGAAGAGAUCGCCGGUUCGAAUCCGGUCGGGCCCG